Molecule: long non-coding RNA, 1555 nt
Organism: Anser cygnoides (Swan goose)
Lineage: Eukaryota; Metazoa; Chordata; Aves; Anseriformes; Anatidae
Source: Ensembl
AUGGGAUGCUCUCGACCCAGCAGAGGUUUGUGUUGGCACACACACACCGUGUGCAGGAGGAACAGGCAAGUUAAAGGCAGUGAUCUGUCACCUUCAGGUGUUGGAAACCUGACGGCUGCAGGGCCCGAGCACCCGCAGAUGUGCAGUUACACACACUGCUCCUGUCCUGCAGCCUCCUCCAAGAGACAAGCACGUGGAGAAGAGCAUGGAAGGCGGCUGGAUCUGCCUUGCAGCUGCCACAAGCGCUUCCAGAGGAGAGGCAGCAAACAAGGACCGGGGCCAGCACCCCUCGCAGGUCCUGAAGCCUUCUAUCCUGCCCUUCCCCACGGCCAAGGAGUGGAAGCAGACACCAGGCGGGCUCUGUGUGUGGCCGUGGGGAGCCCGUGUGGCUGCUGGAACCGGUGUGGAGCCGGGAGCUGUGUGCACAGAGGCAACUUACCGCGGGCACCUGGGGCACACGGUGCAGAUGUCCCAGGCAGUGCUGGAGAAUGGACUCGCAGUGCAAGUAACUGUGACAGUGCAACGGGACCCAAUUACUCAAUGCACGCUAGUUGAGGGCUUUCUUCAGAAAAGGCAAGUAAAAUUGCAAUUACUGUAUCAUUUAAAGGCAGGCGCAGGACAAAACAUGCUGAGAGCUUUUGUUUUGUUUUGUUUUAAAUAGAGAAUCCCAGGGACAAGAAAGCUACUGGAAACUCGCGGGCUUUACCUGCUGCUCCACCUGCAGCACUCCUUCCUCUGCUGAGCCGGGUCAAGCCCUGCCUGCCCCCCUGGUGCUGCUGCUCAGAGCCAGCUCUUGCUUCCCCCAUGCCCUGCUGGUGCAAGGACAUGCUGAGGACAAGGCUCCAGGCUGUCCUCCACCCUCCUGACCCUGCAGAGACCAGGACCCAGUGCGGCUGCUCCCAGACAGGACAGGAGCAGGGCCGCAGGCUCUCAUCUCCUCAUAACCACAGCCUGGCCCCAGUGCUCCUGGCUCUCUGGCAGCCAAAAGCUUUUCGCUCGCUCCUUGGCACCAUUCAUCACUCCCAACAGGGCAGCGGCUCGUGCUGGGAGCCUCGUUGUCCUCGAGUAGGCUCGUCCCUCUGCAGGUAGCCUCUGGCUCCUGUCGGAGGAGGAGUGAGGACGCAGAGGAUGCCCUGCCUGCUCUCCUGGCUCCCUGUCCCGUGCCAGGGGACAGGCACCAGCCCGGUGUGACAGCGCGGCCUUGCGUGUCCUCUGCACGACAACUACCGCGGGGAUGCAAUACGGGGGCUUGAGACGCAGCACCUAUGCCCCCCAGAGGGGCUGCCAGCGGCUCGCAGGGCUGCCAGGGGGCCUCUGGGAUGAGCGAGACUCUUGGGGACGAGACGAGGGCACGGCACCCUGAGGCGGGGGCUGCUCCUUGCAGGGCCUGGCCUAGUCCUGGGGCGGGGGGGUGGCAUGGCCCCUCGGGCCGCCAGGAGAGGGUUAACCCCGAGGCAAUGCCACGCUCCCGGCUCACCGCCCUCCCGCUGCCAGUGGCAUGGCUGAAUGGGGAAUUAGCUGUGCCGGUGCUGAGAGCUCUUAAUUAGCCAUUCUU